GUAUUUUUCCUGCUGCUCUUAUGCUCACAAUGUUGCUCCAAAAGAAAAAUAUGUUGCUUUUGUUACAACAGAAGCAGAAAUUGACCAAACUCAGGUUGAAUUAAAACAUGGAAUUGAUCUACUUGGACCAAUAGAUGAGAUUUACUAUGACAUCUAUGACAGAUAUGAACCCACCAACGAUCAUGCUACUGAUGGUAGCUUCAUCUCUACCGUAAAUAUUGAGAAAAAUCUUUGA
Molecule: non-coding RNA, 235 nt
Organism: Vicia faba (fava bean)
Lineage: Eukaryota; Viridiplantae; Streptophyta; Magnoliopsida; Fabales; Fabaceae
Source: the annotation of a GenBank genome assembly